This 1029-nucleotide long non-coding RNA is filed under the name Lonchura striata (white-rumped munia). RNAcentral describes it as "domestica (Bengalese finch) lncRNA (ENSLSDG00000001690.1)". Lineage: Eukaryota; Metazoa; Chordata; Aves; Passeriformes; Estrildidae. The record is from RNAcentral.
UUUUCUCUCAUUUUUCCCCCAUUUUCUCCCCAUUUCUCCCCAUUUUUCCCCAAUUUCCCCAUUUUUCACCCCAUUUUCCCCCUCACUCACCCCAUGGCGCCGCCGCAGUUGCCGAAGGCGCCGGUUGCCAUUUCCCCAUUUUUCCCCCAUUUUGUUCCCAUUUUUCCCCCAUUUUUUCUCAUUUUCUCCCCAUUUUUUCCCAUUUUCUCUCAUUUUCUCCCCAUUUUUUCCCAAUUUCCCCGUUUCUCACCCCAUUUUCCCCCUCACUCACCCCAUGGCGCCGCCGCGGGCGCCGAAGGCGCCAGUUGCCAUUUCCCCAUUUUGUUCCCAUUUUUCCGCCAUUUUCUCUCAUUCUUUCCCCAUUCUUUCCCCAUUUUCUCUCAUUUUUUCCCCAUUUUCCCCCAUUUCUCCCCAAUUUACCCGUUUCUCACCCCAUUUUCCCCCUCACUCACCCCAUGGCGCCGCCGCGGGUGCCAAAGGCACCGGUUGCCAUUUCCCCAUUUUCUCUCAUUCUUUCCCCAUUUUUUCCCAUUUUCUCUCAUUUUUUCCCCAUUUUUUCCCGUUUUCCCCAUUUUUCACCCCAUUUUCCCCCUCACUCACCCCAUGUUGCCUCCGCGGGUGCCGCGGGUGCCGAAGGCGCCGGUUGCCAUUUCCCCAUUUUCCCCCAUUUUGUUCCCAUUUUUCCGCCAUUUUCUCCCUUUUUUCCCCAUUUUGUUCCCAUUUUUCCCCAUUUUCCCCCAUUUUCUCCCCAUUUUUUCCCGUUUUCCCCGUUUCUCACCCCAUUUUCCCCCUCACUCACCCCAUGUUGCCGCCGCGGGUGCCGCGGGCGCCGCGGGCGCCGCGCUCGAAGCCGCCGCGGGUGCCGAAGGCGCCGCGCCCGCGGCUGCGCUCGCUCGGCGCCGCGGCUCCGUAGCCGCCGCCGGGCUCCUGGUACCCGCCCGAGCUCAGCGAGCCGCCCUCCUGCCCGUAGCUGUUGGCUGGAAAAACGGGAAAAAACAUCGGGAUUACGGGAAUUCCAGGAAAAAUCGG